RNAcentral lists this ribosomal RNA (402 nucleotides) under uncultured bacterium. RNAcentral describes it as "bacterial SSU rRNA". It matches the Rfam family "Bacterial small subunit ribosomal RNA", at positions 30 to 426 of the family's 1533-position model. The record is from RNAcentral.
AGUGAACGCUGGCGGCAGGCCUAACACAUGCAAGUCGAACGGCAGCACGGCAGUAGCAAUACUGUGGGUGGCGAGUGGCGGACGGGUGAGGAAUACAUCGGGAUCUACCCUGUUGUGGGGGAUAACGUAGGGAAACUUACGCUAAUACCGCAUAAGAACUGAGGUUGAAAGCGGCGGACCGCAAGGCGUCGCGCGAUUGGAUGAACCGAUGUCCGAUUAGCUAGUUGGCGGGGUAAAGGCCCACCAAGGCGACGAUCGGUAGCUGGUCUGAGAGGACGACCAGCCACACUGGAACUGAGACACGGUCCAGACUCCUACGGGAGGCAGCAGUGGGGAAUAUUGGACAAUGGGCGCAAGCCUGAUCCAGCCAUGCCGCGUGGGUGAAGAAGGCCUUCGGGUUGU